This 484-nucleotide ribosomal RNA is filed under the name uncultured bacterium. RNAcentral describes it as "partial 16S ribosomal RNA". It matches the Rfam family "Bacterial small subunit ribosomal RNA", at positions 29 to 507 of the family's 1533-position model. The record is from RNAcentral.
AGUGAACGCUGGCGGCAGGCCUAACACAUGCAAGUCGAGCGGCAGCGGGUCCUUCGGGAUGCCGGCGAGCGGCGGACGGGUGAGGAAUGCGUCGGAAUCUGCCUUUUUGUGGGGGAUAACGUAGGGAAACUUACGCUAAUACCGCAUACGACCUACGGGGGAAAGUGGGGGACCGCAAGGCCUCACGCAGAAAGAUGAGCCGACGUCGGAUUAGCUAGUUGGCGGGGUAAAGGCCCACCAAGGCGACGAUCCGUAGCUGGUCUGAGAGGAUGAUCAGCCACACUGGAACUGAGACACGGUCCAGACUCCUACGGGAGGCAGCAGUGGGGAAUAUUGGACAAUGGGCGCAAGCCUGAUCCAGCCAUGCCGCGUGUGUGAAGAAGGCCUUCGGGUUGUAAAGCACUUUUGUCCGGAAAGAAAUCCUGUCGGCUAAUACCCGGCGGGGAUGACGGUACCGGAAGAAUAAGCACCGGCUAACUUCGUG